This 176-nucleotide non-coding RNA is filed under the name Solanum tuberosum (potato). Lineage: Eukaryota; Viridiplantae; Streptophyta; Magnoliopsida; Solanales; Solanaceae. The record is from RNAcentral.
GCUGAGCUCACUAGCGUGAGCCUGUAACCCAAGUGGGAGCAAUAAGAUGAUUGGGACAAAUCAAAGCUUCAGGCCUUGACAUAAAUAGAUAGUUCAUUUGGUAUUAUGCGAUAUUGGUAUAAUAUGAAGUAUUAUUAUGCCAACAUUAAUAAUACUUUUAUAUAGCAGUCAUUUGG